AGAUACCAGAUUGCUAAUAUCCACAGCUGAUUGCAAUUCUGAGGCUGGAGGAGAAUUAACGUUGGCUACCUCAAGGAGGAUGGGGCUUCUAGGAGUGUUUUAGGAGGAUUAUUAUUUUUCUCUAAAGGCCAGCUCUGAGAUCAGAACCAGGUUGCUUGGAGCUUUAUUUCGACCAGUCUUGAAAACCUCCAGUCUGCCUAGGUCUCCACUACUCAACUGUCCUGCUAAAGAACACUCCUCUGAGGCUGCAGGAGUUGCUGAGCUCGUUUAUAUGCUUUCUCAUGGCAAGAAGAGAACAUGAGAAAAUUGCCUUCCCAGAUGCAGUUUUCAAGAACCAGGAUGAGAAGGUCCUUGAGAGGGAAAGAGAGGAGGUGAUAAGGAUACCAACAUCAGCACUGUGAACUUCACAUUCAACAAAAAUGUCAAGAUCAUCCACAGAGUUCUUGGGCUUUUUGGCUCGACGGGAUUCAAGGUGAUAGAUUUGAGUUUCAAACAUCUACAAGAGCCAAGUGUUCAUAUGAUGAAGCUUCUCCAAAGACUGAAAAUCCAGCUGCUGGUAUCCACCUUCUAGGCUGUGAGACCUCUCUCAGGGAAGAACACACAAAGAAUGCAGCCUUCACACACCAGCCAUCCACUGUGAGCAGAUGAAUAUGCCUGUAAGAGAAAUCUCCCCUUGUACCCUGAAAGAUCUCCCUGGGUACCCUGAAAGGUGUACAGUUCCAGACUCCAUGGGAACCUUGGACAAUUGGGAGGCCCUGAGUGGAGAGUGACUGUGAGAGAAGGCAAGGUGGAUCACUGUUCAUCAUUGGCAUCCCAUCCCUGGUCCCAGACCUCCCAGGUGCAGCAGAUUAUGAUCUGCAUGGUGAAGAUCGCCUUCUGCUAACCUUUGGCACAAAACAUGCAUAGACUUCCCCCAGGUUCCCAGGAAUAAGGUAACUUUUAUACGUUAGUGAGAAAAAAUGGAUUAGUGUCUGAAGGCCAGAAGAGUUGAGAGUCACCUAUAGAUGUCUAUUUCUCUGCUAAUCUCUAAUAAUUAAGAUAUAUAACAUAAUUAUUGAUACAGUUCACUGGAAGAUAAUAGACUGAGGCUAGAUCAAGACUGGCACUUUCACAUGAUAGCUUCUAGUCACUAGCAAGUUACAGCAAAUCUUCAUUUGAUCUUCUGGAGGGCAUUGCAAAGGAUCCCAAUCUCACCUGUAAAGGAAAGAAUCAGAGCAGUUAAUUCCAAAACUAGCCCAUUUCUAACACUCUUGUAUGUUUUUUGCCCUUUAUGUCCAUUCUCUUAUAGAAUAAGGUGAGAACAGAAGUGCUGAACUGGACAUGUUUAUUAGAGUCUUACUGGAACUAGGUCUGCAGAGUCAUCCCUUUGCCUUUGCUAGCCAGGCUGGCUCACAGGAUCAGAGGAGAUGGCUCUCAGCAGGCCAGCCAAUGUGAGGGGGAAAAUGUGAUCAAAGCCACGCUUCUCCUUCUCUUCCUUACUGAAAGCAGCUAGGAUCCACCUCAAAGCCAUCUGCCAUUUCCUACCAUCUCCCCCAAAACUGGGUUUUUCAGAUUUAGCAAGUUACAGUCAAGUGGAAAUGCUUGUUGAAGCUUGGCUAGAAAUUGGAAGUAUUUUUUUCAUGAGAAAAGAGGUAUGUGCCGCCUUAUCUUAGAUAGGGCUCAGAGCAUAAAAUGCAGCCAGAUGGAAUCUGCCUUUUGGUUCCUAUUUCUGACCCAAGUUUUGAGGAAUUCAAGGUAACAAAUGUGCAAUUCCUUACUAUUGAUCGUGUCAGCUAAGUUCUUCAGCUGCUUUGCAUUGUCCAAGACUUCAAUCCUCUGUGUGUAGGGAUUGUACCGAACAGAGAAAGGACGAGGGAUUGUUUGAGCAAAUUUCCUGAGGGAAAAAACAUAAACAAAUGUACAGUUUAUUUUUUUUUUCCACCAACUCUUUUCUUUGUGUGUGCAUUUGUUGAUUGUGGGUGAAAAAAAUCUAUGGAAGGAUAUAACUGAAAUUCCUGCUGACUGAUCUGAGACCUACAAUGUUCUGCAACACACUUGAAAUUGCAUUUGUCCUUAUCACCUCUGGUUUUUUUCUGAACAGAACUAAGCUAUUGGCAUGGCAACACUGCUCCUGGUAUAGGCCAACUAUGUAGCAACUGGGAUCUGCCAAGCUUGCAAACCUCAUUUUCCUUUCAUUAGUGCAAAAGCUAAGUGAGGCAGCAUUUUCCACAUCCUCAUGGAGCUUGCUGCUCAGGGAUACAUACAGAGAAGACAAAAGCUCUGUGCAGGAUAUCAAUAGCCCAGCCCAGAAGAGAAGGCCAUCCUUCCCAGGUAUUUCCCCAGAGAAAAGGGCACAAGGAAAAGCUGCCAGAGUUAUGACAGCUAAGCAAGCAGCUGGGCAGAGAAGGACCUCAGAGCUGGGGAGCCUUCAGAGGAAAAGGAGUAGAUACUACGAGAUUUUUUUUUACAAUAACUGUUAAUUCUAGUAAUGGUAAAGUUACUUGGUUUACAUUAAUUAGCCAGAUUUGACUUUAAAUGUUAGUAUCACUGCAGUUGAACAAAUAACCUUUUUUUUUUUGGUUAGACAGACGAAGCUCUUAGUUACACUAAGCACAAAUUCUUGGAUUCAAGCAUAAGGUAUAUUCCUAUUACUAUUCAUUUUUGCCCAAGAUUCUGAGGCUAUAAAAUGUUUAUUAUGUUUUAGCAUUGCACAGAUUUUUCUAAUGCCUCUCAAAACAUGAAUGUCAACCCAAGACCUAUAACGGCGAUGAGAUCCUCUGCAUUUGCAGCAGACAAGAAUGAGUUCUUCUCUGGAAUGACUGCAGUACCUUAGC
Long non-coding RNA from Passer domesticus (house sparrow), 2813 nucleotides. RefSeq lists it as uncharacterized. The record is from RefSeq and is a predicted model, not a curated record. NCBI's taxonomy places the organism in Eukaryota, Metazoa, Chordata, Aves, Passeriformes, Passeridae. The transcript is spliced from 5 exons.